CUGGUGUGGGGGGUCGGAAUCACCCUGCCAGCUGGGGAUUGCGAAGGGGCCCCAGCCACGGGCUCUGCUCCAGCCCUUCUCGCGCCAGGGACUUGGCUUGGCUCUUUGGGCUUUUCAUCCCGAACCCACCAGUGUCUCUCCCCACCCUUUGCCAUGCACCCUGUUGCAUCAAAGUUAGGGCCCAGCCAGGCCAGGACUAACAGGGCUGCGGCCCUAGCAGGGCACCAGAAGCAGGUAUUUUCCAGUCCAUGCAGACUGGCUACGUUGUGCGUUAACUGUUCUGCUAGGGUGCUGGGAUUUGCUUGGCUAGCAGGGGCAAGCGGCGUGGUUAAAGUUCAGACAAAAAACCAGCCGGGAAAAUUUGGGAAAUGGUCUUUUCCCUAAAUGAACCUGAGAUGAAACUGCUCUCACAGUUGCUCACCCUGGGUGAGCAAGGGUGGAAAGGAUCAAGCUUGGGGCAGGCUCUACAUCUGCUCCACAAUCCCCUUAAGGAAAGGAAGUGGCCAUCUGAGGCUAGCGGGGACCAUGUUCAGUACAGAGAGAGGGGCUGCAUGUGAGCGGGAGAAACGGGCAGGCAGCAGCCUGGGAGCUGGCUGUGCAGGGAAGGCCGGGUGGCAAGGAGCCCGGGAGGAAAGCCUGAAAAAUUGAGAGCCAGUUUCCAGUAGCCCUAGAAAAGUGAUCUGCUGUUACUCAAAAUGGAUGUUGAUCUCCACCCACCAAAGGCAAGGACCUGGUGCUUGUAGUGCCGAUCAAUCAUGCUUGCCUCCCUGCCCCGUCGCGGACAUCAGAGGGGACUGAAGUACCACAGCCCUCAAAGCUCUGACUUGCAGCGGGGUUCGGUACAAUGAUCUGGUCAGUCAGGGGAGGCAUCCUUUUCAAUAGCCAGCUACCAACAGCCCUUUGUUACGGGCCCCAGAAAGCCUGCUUUGUGUUCCCUCUGCUUGGUGUACAGGAGCAGCAAGCUGAUCCCCAGCACUGGACAGAGGUGACAGCCAUCCACGAUGCAGGGGGUUGUUGCAGCCAAAGAACAUUCAUGUUAGCUUCAGCUGAAUGAAGAAACACACAGGGGGCAAAAAGACCAGUGUUUGCUAAAUGGGCUUCCUGACGUUGCUGCGUGCAAUGAAAGAUGCUACUGGUGAAAGACGUCAACGUGCAGGAUCCCUGCGGUGGGAUGGGACAAGUCAUGCAAUUGCUGCCCUGGCAUCCUCGUGUGAGGUUGUUCUCUGGAGCAGGUAUUCAGAGCGAUCCUUCUGCAAAAUGAAACCUCACCGGAUAAAGAGAGGGACAAAGAGAGGGAGUCCUACAAAUCUACAAAUCCAACUGCAUUCAAAUUGGGUAUCUUGUAUGAGAUUCCAAUCUAGCCCAUUAAGUGAACAUCAGCAGCCUCAUUAUUAUUAUUAAUUACCGUAGCACCUAGAGUCCCCACCCAAGAUUGGAGCGGGCCCUGUUGUACAUAUGCUUAGGAAGCAGACUCCUAAAAAGUCCCCACAAUUUGCCAUGCAGCAUGACAGUGUGUGUGUGGGGGGGGGGCAGCAUUCAGCUUGUGAUAAAACGGGCAAAUGCAGAGGAAGCCAUUGGGUGCCAGGGGUCCCCUUGGUACGGGUGACGCACUCAGGGACCCAAGCCAAGAGACGCGCCAGUCACCAAGUGAUGAAUCCAAUGCCGAGAGGAGUGCUUUGCUGGUGGGACAGCUGCAGCUGCAUUUCAGUUCUGUUGCUAGGGAGGGCAGGGGAAACUAUGAGCCCUAUCCAUCACCCUUAUGCCCAGGAGUGGCCCCCUUGGCCCCAGCUGGGCUGUGAAUGAGAGUCAGGGUGGCAGGAUCAGGCCUGUCAAUUGAGCGUAUCGUAUGUGGGUUUAUCCGUAAAGAUGUUCUGGUUAACAAGGCUAAUUUCCUAGUCCCUACUAAUUCCCCAGUCAGCCUAAGAGUCACACAAAUGGUGGCCUUCACACCCCCAGCCUUCCACUUCAUUUCACCUACUGUUAUUAUUCCUGUAGCACCUAGUGUCAGGCGACUGGGACGUGGGCAGUCUAGCCUAGUGGGCAGUGCGAGCAUCAGGUCUAAGGGUUAGAGACGGCAUCAGGAACUGAGCAUCAGAAACCAGGGGCUAGGGUCAGAGCUGGAGACUGAGGUCAGGCACUGGGUACCACAGCCAACAGUCAAGCUGGAGUCCCCUAGAGCAUAACAGGCCAGGUGGGGUCUCUGGCAGGGACAAGAGUAGUGACGAUAAUGUGCAUGAGCACUGAACAGAUAGCAAGCUGCUGCUGGCAUGAGCUGCUUUGCUGGCCCCUCCAGCUGAUCAGACAGCCUGCUGCAAGCCAUGGAUUGCCUGGAGACUGGCUCUGUUUCAGGCCCUGAUUUCUGACACCUGGCACCCCAUUGUGCUAGGCCCCAUACGAACACCUAGGAAGAGACAGUCCUGGCUCCAAACAGCUUACCAUCUGUGUAAACAUGACUGAGGAAAGCCAGGAGAAAGGAAGUGCUGUUAUCUCCAUUUUACUGAUGGGGGAUUGAGGCACCAGGAAGAUUAAGAGACUUGCCCAAGGUCACUUGGGCAGUCUAUGGGCAGAACUGAGCAUUGAACCCUGAUUUCCUGAGUCCAGUGCCAGAAAAGACUGUCUUUUCCCACCCACUGAGCAAUCUUUGGGGUGGGGGGGCCUGGGCUCAUGGCCACGGGGGCGUGCACAGCAGGAGGGGAUCAAAAUCACCACCAGAAUUGUUUAAAACUUUUCAUCUGCAUGGCUAUGGACUUAAACCCUCUCCCCAAACAAUUUGGAGAAUAAAUGCUCCAACCUGAAAGCCCUGACCACAAAGGAGAAGAGCAGGUGAAACUGAAGCUGAAUGAAAAAUCUCUGGUGGUAUUUGACUGGUUAUGUUACAUUUAGUGAAUACCAACAACUUUACAUGAUCAGCUAUUGCUUUCUGUGAUACCAUUUUUAUUCUUCGUCCCAGCAAAUCCUAGCUAAAGCUGGCUCAGGACACUCAAUGCAGCUGACAAAAUAUAACAAUAAUGCACAUAAUAAUAAUAAUAAUAACUUACACAAGAAUAUAUGAAGAGGAGAAUCUGUCCCUUUGUGUGUGUUUUUCCAGGCAUGAGGCUUUAGGCCAAGUGUCUUUAACAGUCUCUUUUCUGCCAAGAAUGGGAGUAUUCACUCAGAAAUAUAGGACAGGGGCCUGAUUAUCUCAUCAGUUGCGGAGGCCAUAGCCAAUGGGAGCUGCAUGCAUGCAACUGACAGGCUAAUUGAGCCCCAGAAAUUCUAAUGCCAGCACUGCUUGAAUGGAAGUGGUAGGAGUCCUUUAGCGCUUGCCAAAUGCAGCUGCUAAUGUCCGUUAGCCAGGAUAUAUAAGUGUACAUCUUAGAAAGCCAGCUCAUCCCUGAAAGAACUGUAACUCCACACUAGACUGGACAUUAAGGAACUAAUUUUAUCCUCUUAAGCUUCAUCCUUUCUGCCAUCUCAGAGGGGAUCAGAGUAACAGUUUGGUAUAUUAUUUAAAGAUAACAUCAGACACAGCUAAGUAUUAGAGUUAUUAUAGGACACUGGUUUAUUGAACUGCCAAAGUGUAAUCACUGAACUCCUUGAAUUUUAAAAGAGUUUGUUUUCUAAAGGAAUAAAAUAGCAGGAUCCAGUAACAUUCAGCUCUCGUUUAGUCUCGGGAUCUUUUCUAUGCCAUGAAUAUUUGGAUGUGUUGAAACAGGAAGAACUACGUGCAACUGAGGGAAAAACACAACCCAGUGAUGGGCCGUCUCAGAUUUACAGGGGGAAUCCCAUAAAUGGGCUGAGGGGAGGAACAGAGAAACGAUUUAAACAUUUGUGACCAUCCCCCACAACUUUCCUCCCCCCAAAUAUUAAAAUUCCGAGGGACUAAAUCACUCAUUAAAAUAAAGGAAAAUAUUUUAAUUCACAUGGGAGGGAAAAACCCAUGAAAAUAUCAGAAAACAUCCAAAA
This is a long non-coding RNA of Chelonia mydas (Green sea turtle), 3945 nucleotides long. RefSeq lists it as uncharacterized. The record is from RefSeq and is a predicted model, not a curated record. The transcript has 3 exons. Lineage: Eukaryota; Metazoa; Chordata; Testudines; Cheloniidae.